GCGACUAUCGUCUAGUGGUUAGGACACUUGGUUUUCAUCCAAGUAACCGGAGUUCGAUUCUCCGUAGUCGUACCA
This 75-nucleotide transfer RNA is filed under the name Candidatus Altimarinota bacterium. RNAcentral describes it as "Candidatus Gracilibacteria bacterium tRNA-Glu". It matches the Rfam family "tRNA". From Rfam's summary of the family: Transfer RNA (tRNA) molecules are approximately 80 nucleotides in length. Lineage: Bacteria; Candidatus Altimarinota. The record is from RNAcentral.